UAGGGAAUCUUCCGCAAUGGACGAAAGUCUGACGGAGCAACGCCGCGUGAGUGAAGAAGGUUUUCGGAUCGUAAAACUCUGUUGUCGGAGAAGAACAAGUAGGAGAGUAACGGUUCCUACCUUGACGGUACCCGACCAGAAAGCCACGGCUACCUACGUCCCAGCAGCCGCGGUAAUACGUAGGUGGCAAGCGUUGUCCGGAUUUAGUGGGCGUAAAGCGAGCGCAGGUGGUUUCUUAAGUCUGAUGUGAAAGCCCACGGCUUAACCGUGGAGGGUCAUUGGAAACUGGUCGACUUGAGUGCAGAAGAGGGAAGUGGAAUUCCAUGUGUAGCGGUGAAAUGCGUAGAGAUAUGGAGGAACACCAGUGGCGAAGGCGGCUUCCUGGUCUGUAACUGACACUGAGGCUCGAAAGCGUGGGGAGCAAACAGG
RNAcentral lists this ribosomal RNA (429 nucleotides) under uncultured prokaryote. Its description in RNAcentral is "bacterial SSU rRNA". It matches the Rfam family "Bacterial small subunit ribosomal RNA", at positions 355 to 776 of the family's 1533-position model. The record is from RNAcentral.